Molecule: transfer RNA, 62 nt
Filed under: Helobdella europaea
Lineage: Eukaryota; Metazoa; Annelida; Clitellata; Rhynchobdellida; Glossiphoniidae
Description: tRNA-Phe
Source: RNAcentral
AUUUGGGUAGAUUAAAUAAAUCAUAUUAUUGAAGAUAAUAAAACAGGUAUACCUCCCAAAUA